CUCAUUUGAAAUUUCAUAAAUAAAAAAGAAAAUUUCUUCAAACAUUUUUUUGAGAGGAUUAAUAUUCAACAGCAUAGUGAAUUACUCUAAGAGAAAACAAAAAAAUUAAGUUCAUUAGAACACAUUCAUUCUGUGUCAGAAACCUAUGCUGUGUCAACUAUUUAAUCACAAUUCAAAUUUAGAGCUGAAUCCAGCUUGAAUGUUGUGUCCAUACUUGCCCCAACCGUUCAGGGUUCAACCUCUGCGGUCGUAUAAAGCUACGCCC
Molecule: long non-coding RNA, 265 nt
Filed under: Mytilus galloprovincialis (Mediterranean mussel)
Lineage: Eukaryota; Metazoa; Mollusca; Bivalvia; Mytilida; Mytilidae
Source: RNAcentral